AAACCAACAGGGAUUGCCCUAGUAACGGCGAGUGAAGCGGCAACAGCUCAAAUUUGAAAGCUGGCCUUCGGGUCCGCAUUGUAAUUUGUAGAGGAUGCUUUGGGUGAAACGCCAGUCUAAGUUCCUUGGAACAGGACGUCAUAGAGGGUGAGAAUCCCGUAUGUGACUGGAAAUGUUAACCUAUGUAAAGCUCCUUCGACGAGUCGAGUUGUUUGGGAAUGCAGCUCUAAAUGGGAGGUAAAUUUCUUCUAAAGCUAAAUAUUGGCGAGAGACCGAUAGCGCACAAGUAGAGUGAUCGAAAGAUGAAAAGCACUUUGGAAAGAGAGUUAAAAAGCACGUGAAAUUGUUGAAAGGGAAGCGCUUGCAAUCAGACUUGUUUAAACUGUUCGGCCGGUCUUCUGACCGGUUUACUCAGUUUGGACAGGCCAGCAUCAGUUUCGGCGGCCGGAUAAAGGCUCUGGGAAUGUGGCCUUCACUUCGGUGAAGGUGUUAUAGCCCAGGGUGUAAUACGGCCAGCCGGGACUGAGGUCCGCGCUUCGGCUA
This 543-nucleotide ribosomal RNA is filed under the name Aureobasidium pullulans. RNAcentral describes it as "eukaryotic LSU rRNA". It matches the Rfam family "Eukaryotic large subunit ribosomal RNA", at positions 62 to 613 of the family's 3401-position model. The record is from RNAcentral. RNAcentral also lists the same sequence under 1 other name. Lineage: Eukaryota; Fungi; Ascomycota; Dothideomycetes; Dothideales; Saccotheciaceae.